This 1411-nucleotide ribosomal RNA is filed under the name Lacticaseibacillus rhamnosus. RNAcentral's name for it is "bacterial SSU rRNA". It matches the Rfam family "Bacterial small subunit ribosomal RNA". Lineage: Bacteria; Bacillati; Bacillota; Bacilli; Lactobacillales; Lactobacillaceae. The record is from RNAcentral.
CGAGUUCUGAUUAUUGAAAGGUGCUUGCAUCUUGAUUUAAUUUUGAACGAGUGGCGGACGGGUGAGUAACACGUGGGUAACCUGCCCUUAAGUGGGGGAUAACAUUUGGAAACAGAUGCUAAUACCGCAUAAAUCCAAGAACCGCAUGGUUCUUGGCUGAAAGAUGGCGUAAGCUAUCGCUUUUGGAUGGACCCGCGGCGUAUUAGCUAGUUGGUGAGGUAACGGCUCACCAAGGCAAUGAUACGUAGCCGAACUGAGAGGUUGAUCGGCCACAUUGGGACUGAGACACGGCCCAAACUCCUACGGGAGGCAGCAGUAGGGAAUCUUCCACAAUGGACGCAAGUCUGAUGGAGCAACGCCGCGUGAGUGAAGAAGGCUUUCGGGUCGUAAAACUCUGUUGUUGGAGAAGAAUGGUCGGCAGAGUAACUGUUGUCGGCGUGACGGUAUCCAACCAGAAAGCCACGGCUAACUACGUGCCAGCAGCCGCGGUAAUACGUAGGUGGCAAGCGUUAUCCGGAUUUAUUGGGCGUAAAGCGAGCGCAGGCGGUUUUUUAAGUCUGAUGUGAAAGCCCUCGGCUUAACCGAGGAAGUGCAUCGGAAACUGGGAAACUUGAGUGCAGAAGAGGACAGUGGAACUCCAUGUGUAGCGGUGAAAUGCGUAGAUAUAUGGAAGAACACCAGUGGCGAAGGCGGCUGUCUGGUCUGUAACUGACGCUGAGGCUCGAAAGCAUGGGUAGCGAACAGGAUUAGAUACCCUGGUAGUCCAUGCCGUAAACGAUGAAUGCUAGGUGUUGGAGGGUUUCCGCCCUUCAGUGCCGCAGCUAACGCAUUAAGCAUUCCGCCUGGGGAGUACGACCGCAAGGUUGAAACUCAAAGGAAUUGACGGGGGCCCGCACAAGCGGUGGAGCAUGUGGUUUAAUUCGAAGCAACGCGAAGAACCUUACCAGGUCUUGACAUCUUUUGAUCACCUGAGAGAUCAGGUUUCCCCUUCGGGGGCAAAAUGACAGGUGGUGCAUGGUUGUCGUCAGCUCGUGUCGUGAGAUGUUGGGUUAAGUCCCGCAACGAGCGCAACCCUUAUGACUAGUUGCCAGCAUUUAGUUGGGCACUCUAGUAAGACUGCCGGUGACAAACCGGAGGAAGGUGGGGAUGACGUCAAAUCAUCAUGCCCCUUAUGACCUGGGCUACACACGUGCUACAAUGGAUGGUACAACGAGUUGCGAGACCGCGAGGUCAAGCUAAUCUCUUAAAGCCAUUCUCAGUUCGGACUGUAGGCUGCAACUCGCCUACACGAAGUCGGAAUCGCUAGUAAUCGCGGAUCAGCACGCCGCGGUGAAUACGUUCCCGGGCCUUGUACACACCGCCCGUCACACCAUGAGAGUUUGUAACACCCGAAGCCGGUGGCGUAACCCUU